UCUCAUUGAAGCCAAUAACUGCAAUGGGUCUGAUAAUCCAUCUGGUUCAAUAAUGCAAAGUAACAGUAACAUACCAAAUUCAAAAACAACUACACAAAGGAAUGAACACUAAUAGCAAACCAUCUCCCAAGGCAAUGUAGACGAGGAAAUAUCAGCACAAAGAAGCUCACAGGGUUGCAUUUCCCUCUACAAAGGUGAUGCGGGUGAGGAAACACAAAAACAGUAGGUGGAUCUUUGACCAAACAACCCAUAUGGUUGCAAUAUAGUAGCUGUCCAAACUUCAACAAACCUUCAAAGGGAGUAUCAAAAGGGCAGCAAAACACAAAUAGGGUUGCAAGUCCCCUAAAGAAGAACCAAGCAAAGGAGGGCGAGUGACAAUAUGUCCCAAACCAAAAAAUUCUUACAGUAAUCCUAAUCUCAACAGCCACUGAAACAAUGUUCCAAACCAGGCAAGAGAACCUUCAAAGACGCAACAAACACAAAACCAAAAAUGACAGCGAUCAAAUAUCUCUCGAAUGGACAAAAUACAAAAAGAGAAUGCCUUCAAUAGUGCAGGAAUACACACAUCAACUGAGGCCAAAAGAACUCCCAAAAGAGAUCCAAUCAUCAGUCUUACAGUAGCCAUAGUAGCCCAAAUCCUUGAACCAAUCACAGUUGCACAAGAAUAGCUUCACAAUUUUAACGCUAACAGUACGAAAGGUUCAAUUUCAAGUUCAACUACCUAGGAUCACCAAAAUUCAAAGUUGUCCAUAGAACUACAUUCCACCCUUCAAUGCGACAUUAGAGAGAAUGGAUUAUUGGGCGAUGUCAGACGACGUGCAAAAUUUCGCAAGUGCAUGGAUCAUUAAUAAGUAAUAGAGCGAUGAGUAGAAUAUCGUUUCGACAGAGAUCGUAAUGCAUACUGAACUGAAUUGUAAUCUUAAUUAACUAUCAAAUUCUAUUCAUACCAAAAGAAAAAAAAUUAAAAACUUUUUAUCACUAAUGGCAAAAUGUAAACUAAUUAAGUAAAUUGAACAUUAAUAAAUUAAAACAUUCUAGAGCUAGGGGUUCAUACUUUAAUCAAUCAUAGAUUUAAUCCAAUUUAUUCAACAAAUGAAAAAUUAUAACUUUAAAGGAAAUUAAUCCUAAGUUACUGUAAUCCCUCUCUAAUUCGAGCUGUAUUCCAAUUAACAUAAAUCCUACUCUCAUGGCAUUUAAAUUGGAUAAAUUUUAACAACUG
Molecule: unclassified non-coding RNA, 1219 nt
Filed under: Hevea brasiliensis (rubber tree)
Lineage: Eukaryota; Viridiplantae; Streptophyta; Magnoliopsida; Malpighiales; Euphorbiaceae
Source: RNAcentral